CACCCGGUAGCACACGGUGUGCAUCUGCCAUACCUAUAUACUUGAGCUCUAUGGUGCAGAAGACCCCCGUUCGAUCCGGGGCCGGGUGA
Non-coding RNA from Mycena vulgaris, 89 nucleotides. NCBI's taxonomy places the organism in Eukaryota, Fungi, Basidiomycota, Agaricomycetes, Agaricales, Mycenaceae. The record is from the annotation of a GenBank genome assembly.